AUUGAACGCUGGCGGAAUGCUUUACACAUGCAAGUCGAGCGGCAGCGCGGGGCAACCUGGCGGCGAGCGGCGAGCGGGUGAGUAAUACAUCGGAACGUACCCCGUUGUGGGGGAUAGCCCGGCGAAAGCCGGAUUAAUACCGCAUACGGCCUGAGGGUGAAAGAGGGGGAUCGCAAGACCUCUCGCAGUUGGAGCGGCCGAUGGCGGAUUAGCUAGUUGGUGGGGUAAAGGCCUACCAAGGCGACGAUCCGUAGCGGGUCUGAGAGGACGACCCGCCACACUGGAACUGAGACACGGUCCAGACUCCUACGGGAGGCAGCAGUGGGGAAUUUUGGACAAUGGGGGCAACCCUGAUCCAGCCAUUCCGCGUGAGUGAAGAAGGCCUUCGGGUUGUAAAGCUCUUUCGGCAGGAACGAAACGGUCUUUUCUAAUACAAGAGGCUAAUGACGGUACCUGAAGAAGAAGCACCGGCUAACUACGUGCCAGCCGCCGCCGUAA
This 498-nucleotide ribosomal RNA is filed under the name uncultured bacterium. RNAcentral's name for it is "partial 16S ribosomal RNA". It matches the Rfam family "Bacterial small subunit ribosomal RNA", at positions 29 to 523 of the family's 1533-position model. The record is from RNAcentral.